UGAGUCGGCCGGGCGGCCGCGGCGGUUCCGCCCGUCGAGGAAAGUCCGGACUCCGCAGGGCAGGGUGGUUGCUAACGGCAACCCGGGGAAACCCGCGGGAAAGUGCCACAGAAAGCAGACCGCCCGGCGGGUUCGCCCGCCGGGUAAGGGUGAAACGGUGGUGUAAGAGACCACCAGCGCCCCGGGUGACCGGGGCGGCUCGGCAAACCCCACCCGGAGCAAGGUCAAGAGGGCGCUGCGCGCGCCUGCGCGGACGUUCGAGGGUUGCCCGCCCGAGGUCCGCGGGUAGACCGCACGAACCUGUCGGCAACGGCAGGUCGAGAUGGAUGGCCGCCGAACGGGUCGCUGCGAAGCACCCGGGAACAGAAUCCGGCUUACAGGCCGACUCAUCCG
RNAcentral lists this RNase P RNA (393 nucleotides) under Saccharopolyspora montiporae. RNAcentral's name for it is "Saccharopolyspora sp. HNM0983 Bacterial RNase P class A". It matches the Rfam family "Bacterial RNase P class A". From Rfam's summary of the family: Ribonuclease P (RNase P) is a ubiquitous endoribonuclease, found in archaea, bacteria and eukarya as well as chloroplasts and mitochondria. Its best characterised activity is the generation of mature 5'-ends of tRNAs by cleaving the 5'-leader elements of precursor-tRNAs. Lineage: Bacteria; Bacillati; Actinomycetota; Actinomycetes; Pseudonocardiales; Pseudonocardiaceae. The record is from Rfam by way of RNAcentral.